GACGAACGCUGGCGGCGUGCUUAACACAUGCAAGUCGAACGGAAAGGCCCUGCUUUUGUGGGGUGCUCGAGUGGCGAACGGGUGAGUAACACGUGAGUAACCUGCCCUUGACUUUGGGAUAACUUCAGGAAACUGGGGCUAAUACCGGAUAGGAGCUCCUGCUGCAUGGUGGGGGUUGGAAAGUUUCGGCGGUUGGGGAUGGACUCGCGGCUUAUCAGCUUGUUGGUGGGGUAGUGGCUUACCAAGGCUUUGACGGGUAGCCGGCCUGAGAGGGUGACCGGCCACUUUGGGUCUGAUAUACGCCCCAGACGCCUACGGGGGGCAGCUGUGGGGUAUAUUGCACAAGGGGGGGGAGUCUGAUGCAGCAACGCCGCGUGCGAGAUGGCGGCCUUCGGGUUGUACACCGCUUUCGCCUGUGACGAAGCGUGAGAGACGGUAAUGGAUAAAGAAGCACCGGCUAACUACG
Molecule: ribosomal RNA, 466 nt
Filed under: uncultured bacterium
Lineage: Bacteria
Description: partial 16S ribosomal RNA
Rfam family: Bacterial small subunit ribosomal RNA
Source: RNAcentral